This 486-nucleotide ribosomal RNA is filed under the name uncultured bacterium. Its description in RNAcentral is "partial 16S ribosomal RNA". It matches the Rfam family "Bacterial small subunit ribosomal RNA", at positions 30 to 507 of the family's 1533-position model. The record is from RNAcentral.
AUUGAACGCUGGCGGCAUGCCUUGCACAUGCAAGUCGAACGGCAGCACGGGUGCUUGCACCUGGUGGCGAGUGGCGAACGGGUGAGUAAUACAUCGGAACAUGUCCUGUAGUGGGGGAUAGCCCGGCGAAAGCCGGAUUAAUACCGCAUACGAUCUACGGAUGAAAGCGGGGGACCUUCGGGCCUCGCGCUAUAGGGUUGGCCGAUGGCUGAUUAGCUAGUUGGUGGGGUAAAGGCCUACCAAGGCGACGAUCAGCAGCUGGUCUGAGAGGACGACCAGCCACACUGGGACUGAGACACGGCCCAGACUCCUACGGGAGGCAGCAGUGGGGAAUUUUGGACAAUGGGCGAAAGCCUGAUCCAGCAAUGCCGCGUGUGUGAAGAAGGCCUUCGGGUUGUAAAGCACUUUUGUCCGGAAAGAAAUCCUUGGCCCUAAUACGGUCGGGGGAUGACGGUACCGGAAGAAUAAGCACCGGCUAACUACGUG